Molecule: long non-coding RNA, 244 nt
Filed under: Rattus norvegicus (Norway rat)
Lineage: Eukaryota; Metazoa; Chordata; Mammalia; Rodentia; Muridae
Description: long non-coding RNA NONRATT015673
Source: RNAcentral
GCUCCGUGUUAGGUUAAUGUGCUAGGAGACACUUGUGAGCAAAGUAUGAUCCUCGUGCUCCAAAAGCUCAGAAUCCAGGUUUGUGUCAAGCUGACCAAAACUAACUGCAGGUUAGAACUGAAACUCGACUUCACUCUUAAGAAUUCGGACCCCAGUGACAAAAAGGAAUGACAGACUGCGGGGUGUGAGAGAUGAUGUGGAUUCAAAGACCAAGAGGCUGCAGGAUAAAAACAUGUUUUUUUUU